GGACACGCUCGGCCGUACAAAGCCCUUAUCGAGCAAGUCCUGUAACUGAGCUUUCAAUUCCUUCAACUCUACCGGUGCCAUUCUGUACGGAGCCUUCGAAAUGGGCGCUGCCCCGGGAAUCAAGUCAAUCACAAACUCGACUUCCCGAUCCGGGGGCAAUCCCGGUAACUCCGCGGGGAAUACAUCCGGAUACUCCCGCACAACUUGAAUACUCUCCAAUUCCGAGUACUCUUUUCGAGAGUCUACGAUGGUCGCCAAGUAGGCCUUACAACCGCCUUUGAUCAUCCUUUUCGCCCUCACC
This 301-nucleotide long non-coding RNA is filed under the name Ananas comosus (pineapple). RNAcentral describes it as "long non-coding RNA (ACOM_LNC038412)". The record is from RNAcentral. Lineage: Eukaryota; Viridiplantae; Streptophyta; Magnoliopsida; Poales; Bromeliaceae.